UAUGUAUAUGUAUAUGUAUAUAUGAUGAUUAUGCUGACAAAAUGAUCACGAAGGAUACAAAGGUGUCGCAAAGAAUUUGAAUCAUCGGUACAAUCCUCGGUCAAUCCACAAAAAGAGGGAGACAACUGCUGGAGAAUAGAGAAAUCAACAAACCAAAAGCUCAAAUCUAACCAAGGGAGGAGAUCUGCUGAGAAGAGGCAAAGUUAUCGAGUCCGCAUGGAAUUUUAGAUCAACA
This 235-nucleotide long non-coding RNA is filed under the name Lathyrus oleraceus (garden pea). Its description in RNAcentral is "Pisum sativum (pea) long non-coding RNA (PSAT_LNC033909)". The record is from RNAcentral. Lineage: Eukaryota; Viridiplantae; Streptophyta; Magnoliopsida; Fabales; Fabaceae.